AUUGAACGCUGGCGGCAGGCCUAACACAUGCAAGUCGAACGAGUGGCGGACGGGUGAGUAAUGUCUGGGAAACUGCCCGAUGGAGGGGGAUAACUACUGGAAAAGGUCGCUAAUACCGCAUACCAUCGGAUGAGCCCAUAUGGGAUUAGCUAGUAGGUGGGGUAACGGCUCACCUAGGCGACGAUCCCGAGCUGGUCUGAGAGGAUGACCAGCACCACUGGAACUGAGACACGGUCCAUACUCCUACGGGAGGCAUCAGUGGGGAAUAUUGCACAAUGGGCGCAAGCCUGAUGCAGCCAUGCCGCGUGGAUGAAGAAGGCCUUCGGGUUGUAAAGUACUUUCAGCGAGGAGGCGUUACUCGCAGAAGAAGCACCGGCUAACUCCGUGCCAGCAGCCGCGGUAAUUC
Molecule: ribosomal RNA, 406 nt
Filed under: uncultured bacterium
Lineage: Bacteria
Description: partial 16S ribosomal RNA
Rfam family: Bacterial small subunit ribosomal RNA
Source: RNAcentral